UUAAGUUCCUUAAAUUCAAAGAAUUUGGCGGUAGUUAAGUCUUUUUAGAGGAACCUGUUCUGUAAUUGAUAGUCCACGAUUUAUUUUACUUUAAUUUUAUUUGUAUACCUCUGUUAAUGAAUGUAUUAUAAGGUUAAUUUUCUUUAUUUUGGGAGAAUAAAUAGUAGGUCAAGGUGCAGUUUUUUUAAAGUAGAAAUGGGUUACAAUAAUUUUUUUUGGAUAAUUUUUUGGAAUGUGAAUUUGAAAUUGGAUUUAAUAGUAAUGUUUUUAAAAUAAAAAUAAUGAUUAUAGCUCUUAAUUAU
Molecule: ribosomal RNA, 302 nt
Filed under: Neuromachaerota discigutta
Lineage: Eukaryota; Metazoa; Arthropoda; Insecta; Hemiptera; Machaerotidae
Description: partial 12S ribosomal RNA
Source: RNAcentral